Molecule: non-coding RNA, 111 nt
Organism: Acanthosepion pharaonis
Lineage: Eukaryota; Metazoa; Mollusca; Cephalopoda; Sepiida; Sepiidae
Source: the annotation of a GenBank genome assembly
CAACCAAAUCACGUUGCAACAUCGGUUCACGUACGAUUACCGAAGUUAAGCAACGUCGAGCAUGGUCGAGUAUCUGGAUGGGUGACCACUUGGGAUACCAGUUGCUGUAAG